This 239-nucleotide small RNA is filed under the name Nannospalax galili (Upper Galilee mountains blind mole rat). RNAcentral describes it as "Metazoan signal recognition particle RNA (ENSNGAG00000010000.1)". The record is from RNAcentral. Lineage: Eukaryota; Metazoa; Chordata; Mammalia; Rodentia; Spalacidae.
GCUGGGCGUGGUGACACACGCCUUUAAUCCCAACACUCGGGAGGCAGAGGCAGGUGGAUCUCUGUGAGUUUAAGGUCAGCCUGGUCUACAUAGUGAGUUCCAGGACAGCUGGGGCUACAGGGAGACCCUGUCUCAAAAAGACAAUAAAAAAAAAAAAAUUUUUUUUUGGAACAGGGUCUCCCUGUAGCUCACUAUGUAGAGCAGGCUGGCCUCAGUCUCAUAGAGAUCAACCUGACUCU